Molecule: ribosomal RNA, 253 nt
Filed under: uncultured bacterium
Lineage: Bacteria
Description: partial 16S ribosomal RNA
Rfam family: Bacterial small subunit ribosomal RNA
Source: RNAcentral
UACGGGGGGGGCAAGCGUUGUUCGGAAUUACUGGGCGUAAAGGGCUCGUAGGCGGCCAACUAAGUCAGACGUGAAAUCCCUCGGCUUAACCGGGGAACUGCGUCUGAUACUGGCGGGCUUGAGGACAGGAGAGGAACGCGGAAUUCCAGGUGUAGCGGUGAAAUGCGUAGAUAUCUGGAGGAACACCGGUGGCGAAGGCGGCGUUCUGGACUGUUUCUGACACUGAAAAACGAAAGCCAGGGGAGCAAACGGG